This 289-nucleotide ribosomal RNA is filed under the name Haemophilus influenzae. RNAcentral describes it as "partial 16S ribosomal RNA". It matches the Rfam family "Bacterial small subunit ribosomal RNA", at positions 1 to 282 of the family's 1533-position model. The record is from RNAcentral. Lineage: Bacteria; Pseudomonadati; Pseudomonadota; Gammaproteobacteria; Pasteurellales; Pasteurellaceae.
ACUUGAAUUGAAGAGUUUGAUCAUGGCUCAGAUUGAACGCUGGCGGCAGGCUUAACACAUGCAAGUCGAACGGUAGCAGGAGAAAGCUUGCUUUCUUGCUGACGAGUGGCGGACGGGUGAGUAAUGCUUGGGAAUCUGGCUUAUGGAGGGGGAUAACGACGGGAAACUGUCGCUAAUACCGCGUAGUGUCGAGAGACGAAAGUGCGGGACUGAGAGGCCGCAUGCCAUAGGAUGAGCCCAAGUGGGAUUAGGUAGUUGGUGGGGUAAAGGCCUACCAAGCCUGCGAUCU